This is a long non-coding RNA of Cyphomyrmex costatus, 667 nucleotides long. RefSeq lists it as uncharacterized. The record is from RefSeq and is a predicted model, not a curated record. Lineage: Eukaryota; Metazoa; Arthropoda; Insecta; Hymenoptera; Formicidae. The transcript is spliced from 4 exons.
UACAACGUCCCUUUACUUUUCGUUAAUUUUAUCUUUUUGUCCUACCUAUUUGUUAUAAUACAAGCUUAAUUUACUUACUCAGAUAUUUCUCUCUUUUGCUUACAGAUGCAGUAUUUUAAUUCACAUAUCACCAUGUGCAUAUCACGUGAAUCGCACAUUAAUAAAGGAUCGUACACAGGACGCAUUAACGUUGGAAAAUAUCAUCGAAUACAGGAACCAGACGAUAUUACCAUAGAGAAAUAGAACGCAUGGGUCCCUGGACGUAUGCAGUGAGUACAAUGAUAAGAAAAUUCACGUCUGUGAAGCUAGCAUAUCAGCGAGACGCUGCUUGCAUAGCGGUUAGGGUAGCUGUCAACAUGAUGACAGAACAAAACAUAAUGAAGAAGUGCAUUCUGCGCGUCACGAAAAUUUAAGAUUCCAGAUGGAUAUCAUAAAAUUGGGAUCAGAUAAGAGAAUAAGUUAGUUGUGCAAAAGGUAACUUUAAUGCUUGGGAUCAUGGCAAAGUUCUUUCUCAGAGGAACGACAAUCUGCUAUGAGCAUCUUGCUAUAGAGAAAUGGAACGCAUGGGUCCAUGGACGUAUGCAGUGAAUACAAUGAUAAUAGUGAAAGUAAUCGUAAGAUAUUAUAUUUAAUUCUAUAAAAUGUUUUUAUCUUUAUUCUGUAUAAA